This 1600-nucleotide long non-coding RNA is filed under the name Heterocephalus glaber (naked mole-rat). RNAcentral describes it as "lncRNA (ENSHGLG00000041857.1)". The record is from RNAcentral. Lineage: Eukaryota; Metazoa; Chordata; Mammalia; Rodentia; Bathyergidae.
UGAUUGGAGCUCAACGGAUCCCUGAGCCCCGAGGCAGCAGGCGGGCGUUGCGCGGGGUCACCGGUGACGCCCAGCGGGCGGCUGGAAGCGGAGACUUCCGUGCUCCGGUCUAGCAGUCGGAAAGCUGGGGCCAGGCCGAGGUUGUGCGGGUUGGGGCGCAGGCAAGUCUCGAAUGCGAUAGUGAGGCUUCAGGUCUCACGGCCUCUGGGACCCACGCCCAGGUUUCCCUGCAGCCGAGUUGAUUAGUACCGGACGCUUUCGCAGGCUCCCGCAGGCUCCCUCCGUGCCUGGCUGGAAAUAGACGUCACAGUAUUUGAAAUGUCAUGUGGCCUAUGCUUUGGACCAUGGUGCGCAGCUAUGCUCCUUAUGUUACAUUUCCUGUGGCCUUCGUGGUUGGGGCUGUGGGCUACCACCUCGAAUGGUUCAUCAGGGAAAGGAUCCACUUCCUGUGGAAGAAGAAAAAAGAGCAUCUCAGAGCGCCGGGAGGAUCGUAAGCUGGAUGAACUUCUAGGCAAGGACCAUACCCAGGUGGUGAGCCUUAAGGACAAGCUGGAAUUUGCCCCUAAAUCUGUCCUGAACAGAAACCGCCCUGAGAAGAAUUAAUGGAAGACACAGGACCCUAUGGUCAACAGGGCUGUGACUGGUCCUGCCAUGAUGUCAACUCAGCCCCAGAACAUACAUUUGAUUGCUUUUGCUUAUUCUGACCUCUUCUGUACCUCACAGCCUCACAUGUACUGGCUGCACCUUUAUAGCCAGGGAGACACAGGAGCAGCUGAGGGGCCAGCCAGAGAGGAAGGCUGAAUCUAUAGAAUGGGGUCCGACUGCUCAGGCUUCCGAGCUUCUGUUGGUGCACUGUCCCGAGAGUGCUGUAAAUGAACAUGGGCUCUCAGUCUCCUGGGGAGGUGGUUUGGCCUCAAGUGUGGAUGGCUGGGAUUUGGGUAUUCCCUUUAGGAGAGAUACCCAUGUGUCUAGUUCCAGUUUGUACAGGGAAGAAUUCAGAAAUCUACCUGGUUCCCUUGACUAGUUUGCCUUACCCUUUGUGUUCAUUCUUCCUGAAAUCCUCUUGUCAGCUCAGGAAUGGGAUUCCCUGGGGAAGGAAAGCAUUUUCUGUUGUCAGAUAUGCAGGCUGUUCCUGCUGGGGCAGGGAGGAAAUGUGCCUGGUGAAUUUGCUUGGAAACAAUCACCGUCCUCUACCCCUCAUCACUUGAUUAAAGUGGCAUCUGAGAACCAUUUUGAUCGAAUCCUGUCUUCUAGAUGGCAUUUGGGGUAGGCCAGUGAUAGUGGUUAAGGACUCUGGUUGCUGUGAAUCCAGGAGGCGGUGGUUCCCAAGAGCCUUUUUACCAUCAUGAUUAGAGGCAGUAGCUCUUUCAAAGUCUUAACGCUCACAUGUGUGCCACCCUCCUUUUCUCUAUAAGAAAAUAAUAUAUAGGGCCGGGGAUUUAGCUCAGUGCUUUUGCCACCUGCUGCGCAAGCGCAAGGACCUGAGUUCGAUCCCCGGUACCAAAAAAAAAAAAGAAAGAGAAAAUAAUAUAUGCACAUUAAAGGAAAUUUGGUAGGGAUUAGAACAAGGUCACCAACACUUCCAGCACUGUAAUGCAAC